GGCGGCGUGCCUAAUACAUGCAAGUCGAGCGCAGGAAACAAGUAGAUCCCUUCGGGGUGACGCUUGUGGAAUGAGCGGCGGACGGGUGAGUAACACGUGGGCAACCUACCUUGUAGACUGGGAUAACUCCGGGAAACCGGAGCUAAUACGGGAUGAUCAUUUGAAUCGCAUGAUUGAAAUGUAAAAGUGGGGAGUAAUCCUCACACUAUGAGAUGGGCCCGCGGCGCAUUAGCUAGUUGGUAAGGUAAUGGCUUACCAAGGCAACGAUGCGUAGCCGACCUGAGAGGGUGAUCGGCCACACUGGAACUGAGACACGGUCCAGACUCCUACGGGAGGCAGCAGUAGGGAAUCAUCCGCAAUGGGCGAAAGCCUGACGGUGCAACGCCGCGUGAACGAUGAAGGUUUUCGGAUCGUAAAGUUCUGUUAUGAGGGAAGAACAAGUGCCGUUCGAAUAGGGCGGCACCUUGACGGUACCUCACGAGAAAGCCCCGGCUAACUACGUG
Molecule: ribosomal RNA, 503 nt
Filed under: uncultured bacterium
Lineage: Bacteria
Description: bacterial SSU rRNA
Rfam family: Bacterial small subunit ribosomal RNA
Source: RNAcentral